GGCUCAGAUUGAACGCUGGCGGCAUGCCUUACACAUGCAAGUCGAACGGCAGCACGGACUUCGGUCUGGUGGCGAGUGGCGAACGGGUGAGUAAUGUAUCGGAACGUACCUUCAGUGGGGAUAACGUAGCGAAAGUUACGCUAAUACCGCAUAUUCUGUGAGCAGGAAAGCAGGGGAUCGCAAGACCUUGCGCUGAUUGAGCGGCCGACAUCAGAUUAGCUAGUUGGUGAGGUAAAGGCUCACCAAGGCGACGAUCUGUAGCGGGUCUGAGAGGAUGAUCCGCCACACUGGAACUGAGACACGGUCCAGACUCCUACGGGAGGCAGCAGUGGGGAAUUUUGGACAAUGGGGGCAACCCUGAUCCAGCCAUGCCGCGUGAGUGAAGAAGGCCUUCGGGUUGUAAAGCUCUUUCGGCCGGGAAGAAAUCGCAUGGGCUAAUACCCUGUGCGGAUGACGGUACCGGCAUAAGAAGCACCGGCUAACUACGUG
Molecule: ribosomal RNA, 489 nt
Filed under: uncultured bacterium
Lineage: Bacteria
Description: bacterial SSU rRNA
Rfam family: Bacterial small subunit ribosomal RNA
Source: RNAcentral